This 575-nucleotide ribosomal RNA is filed under the name uncultured Oscillibacter sp. RNAcentral describes it as "bacterial SSU rRNA". It matches the Rfam family "Bacterial small subunit ribosomal RNA", at positions 897 to 1476 of the family's 1533-position model. The record is from RNAcentral. Lineage: Bacteria; Bacillati; Bacillota; Clostridia; Eubacteriales; Oscillospiraceae.
AAACUCAAAGGAAUUUGACGGGGGCCCGCACAAGCGGUGGAUUAUGUGGUUUAAUUCGAAGCAACGCGAAGAACCUUACCAGGACUUGACAUCCUACUAACGAGGUAGAGAUACGUCAGGUGCCCUUCGGGGAAAGUAGAGACAGGUGGUGCAUGGUUGUCGUCAGCUCGUGUCGUGAGAUGUUGGGUUAAGUCCCGCAACGAGCGCAACCCUUAUUGUUAGUUGCUACGCAAGAGCACUCUAGCGAGACUGCCGUUGACAAAACGGAGGAAGGUGGGGACGACGUCAAAUCAUCAUGCCCCUUAUGUCCUGGGCUACACACGUAAUACAAUGGCGGUCAACAGAGGGAUGCAAAGCCGUGAGGUGGAGCGAACCCCUAAAGCCGUCUCAGUUCGGAUCGAGGCUGCAACUCGCCUGCGUGAAGUCGGAAUCGCUAGUAAUCGCGGAUCAGAAUGCCGCGGUGAAUACGUUCCCGGGCCUUGUACACACCGCCCGUCACACCAUGAGAGUCGGGAACACCCGAAGUCCGUAGCCUAACAGCAAUGAGGGCGCGGCCGAAGGUGGGUUUGAUAAUU